Molecule: long non-coding RNA, 293 nt
Organism: Chinchilla lanigera (long-tailed chinchilla)
Lineage: Eukaryota; Metazoa; Chordata; Mammalia; Rodentia; Chinchillidae
Exons: 2
Source: RefSeq, a predicted model, not a curated record
GCGGGCGCCCCGGGGCCUGGGGUUCGCGAGCGAGGUGGGGGGCGGGGCAGUGCAGAGCCGGCGGUGAGCGCGCGGUCACCUGGGCGGCAGAAGAGAUUUAAGAUGUCCAAGACCAAGAGUGAGCGCCAGUGUGAACUAUGGACUUUGGGUGAUAAAUGUGGCAGUGCAGCUGCAUUGAUUGUGACGAACGCCCCGCCUCAGCGACGGCUGUGGAUCGUGGGGGAGGCUGUGUGUCAGCAGGAAGAGCGGAAACCUUAAUUUUGCAGUGAACUAAAAACUGCUCUAAAAAAGAG